Molecule: ribosomal RNA, 843 nt
Filed under: uncultured bacterium
Lineage: Bacteria
Description: bacterial SSU rRNA
Rfam family: Bacterial small subunit ribosomal RNA
Source: RNAcentral
CGAACGCAAUCUUUGACUAAUGAGUGCUUGCACUCAGCGGUCAAACGUGCGAGUGGCGAACGGGUGAGUAACACGUGGGCAAUCUGCCCAAAAGUGGGGGAUAACACUUGGAAACAGGUGCUAAUACCGCAUCAACCGGCUGACCGCAUGGUCGGCCGGGCAAAGACGGCGUCAGCUGUCGCUUUUGGAUGAGCCCGCGGCGUAUUAACUAGUUGGUAAGGUAACGGCUUACCAAGGUGAUGAUACGUAGCCGAACUGAGAGGUUGAUCGGCCACAUUGGGACUGAGACACGGCCCAAACUCCUACGGGAGGCAGCAGUAGGGAAUCUUCCACAAUGGACGCAAGUCUGAUGGAGCAACGCCGCGUGUAUGAAGAAGGUCUUCGGAUCGUAAAAUACUGUUGUCAGAGAAGAACACGUGAUAGAGUAACUGCUAUGGCGCUGACGGUAUCUGACCAGCAAGUCACGGCUAACUACGUGCCAGCAGCCGCGGUAAUACGUAGGUGGCAAGCGUUGUCCGGAUUUAUUGGGCGUAAAGGGAACGCAGGCGGUCUUUUAAGUCUGAUGUGAAAGCCUUCGGCUUAACCGGAGAAGUGCAUUGGAAACUGGAAGACUUGAGUGCAGAAGAGGAGAGUGGAACUCCAUGUGUAGCGGUGAAAUGCGUAGAUAUAUGGAAGAACACCAGUGGCGAAAGCGGCUCUCUGGUCUGUAACUGACGCUGAGGUUCGAAAGCGUGGGGAGCGAACAGGAUUAGAUACCCUGGUAGUCCACGCUGUAAACGAUGAAUGCUAGGUGUUGGAGGGUUUCCGCCCUUCGGUGCCGCAGCUAACGCACUAAGCAUUCCG